Molecule: unclassified non-coding RNA, 343 nt
Filed under: soil metagenome
Description: partial contains 5.8S ribosomal RNA, internal transcribed spacer 2, and large subunit ribosomal RNA
Rfam family: 5.8S ribosomal RNA (bases 1-120)
Source: RNAcentral
GAUGAAGAACGUAGCGAAAUGCGAUAAGUAAUGUGAAUUGCAGAAUUCAGUGAAUCAUCGAAUCUUUGAACGCACAUUGCGCCCGCCAGUAUUCAGGCGGGCAUGCCUGUUCGAGCGUCAUUUCAACCCUCAGGACCCUUUGGACCUGGUGUUGGGGCUCGGCCGCUACCCCGCGGCCGUCCCCGAAAGAUAGUGGCGGUCUCGCUGUAGCGUCCUCUGCGUAGUAAUUACACCUCGCACUGGAACGCGGCGCGGCCACGCCGUUAAACACCCCACUUCUCAAGGUUGACCUCGGAUCAGGUAGGAAUACCCGCUGAACUUAAGCAUAUCAAUAAGCGGAGGA